Molecule: ribosomal RNA, 769 nt
Filed under: fungal sp.
Lineage: Eukaryota; Fungi
Description: eukaryotic LSU rRNA
Rfam family: Eukaryotic large subunit ribosomal RNA (bases 461-769)
Source: RNAcentral
UUACCGAGUUUACAACUCCCAAACCCCUGUGAACAUACCACUUGUUGCCUCGGCGGAUCAGCCCGCUCCCGGUAAAACGGGACGGCCCGCCAGAGGACCCCUAAACUCUGUUUCUAUAUGUAACUUCUGAGUAAAACCAUAAAUAAAUCAAAACUUUCAACAACGGAUCUCUUGGUUCUGGCAUCGAUGAAGAACGCAGCAAAAUGCGAUAAGUAAUGUGAAUUGCAGAAUUCAGUGAAUCAUCGAAUCUUUGAACGCACAUUGCGCCCGCCAGUAUUCUGGCGGGCAUGCCUGUUCGAGCGUCAUUUCAACCCUCAAGCACAGCUUGGUGUUGGGACUCGCGUUAAUUCGCGUUCCUCAAAUUGAUUGGCGGUCACGUCGAGCUUCCAUAGCGUAGUAGUAAAACCCUCGUUACUGGUAAUCGUCGCGGCCACGCCGUUAAACCCCAACUUCUGAAUGUUGACCUCGGAUCAGGUAGGAAUACCCGCUGAACUUAAGCAUAUCAAUAAGCGGAGGAAAAGAAACCAACAGGGAUUGCCCUAGUAACGGCGAGUGAAGCGGCAACAGCUCAAAUUUGAAAUCUGGCUCUCGGGCCCGAGUUGUAAUUUGUAGAGGAUACUUUUGAUGCGGUGCCUUCCGAGUUCCCUGGAACGGGGACGCCAUAGAGGGUGAGAGCCCCGUCUGGUUGGAUGCCAAAUCUCUGUAAAGUUCCUUCAACGAGUCGAGUAGUUUGGGAUGCUGCUCUAAAUGGGAGGUAUAUGUCUUCUAA